RNAcentral lists this small nucleolar RNA (127 nucleotides) under Rhinolophus ferrumequinum (greater horseshoe bat). RNAcentral's name for it is "Small nucleolar RNA SNORA40 (ENSRFEG00010019569.1)". It matches the Rfam family "Small nucleolar RNA SNORA40". From Rfam's summary of the family: The snoRNA ACA 40 belongs to the H/ACA family of snoRNAs and guides the pseudouridylation of 28S rRNA subunit at position U4565. NB This family has a high threshold value to exclude a large number of closely related sequences that do not appear to have conserved H and ACA boxes, and may be pseudogenes. The record is from Rfam by way of RNAcentral. Lineage: Eukaryota; Metazoa; Chordata; Mammalia; Chiroptera; Rhinolophidae.
GGCACUUGUAUUUGUUUCUGUUUAAUUUGUAGACAAAGACUUACAGACAGGUGCAAAAAUAAAUCCUCUUUUGCAACCCAGGACUCAUCGUUCAGUAUGAGUUUUGAUACAUAUAAGAAGGAACAUG